RNAcentral lists this ribosomal RNA (452 nucleotides) under uncultured bacterium. Its description in RNAcentral is "bacterial SSU rRNA". It matches the Rfam family "Bacterial small subunit ribosomal RNA", at positions 29 to 506 of the family's 1533-position model. The record is from RNAcentral.
AACGAACGCUGGCGGCAGGCCUAACACAUGCAAGUCGAACGCCGUAGCAAUACGGAGUGGCAGACGGGUGAGUAACACGUGGGAACGUGCCCUUUGGUUCGGAACAACACAGGGAAACUUGUGCUAAUACCGGAUAAGCCCUUACGGGGAAAGAUUUAUCGCCAAAGGAUCGGCCCGCGUCUGAUUAGCUAGUUGGUGAGGUAACGGCUCACCAAGGCUACGAUCAGUAGCUGGUCUGAGAGGAUGAUCAGCCACACUGGGACUGAGACACGGCCCAGACUCCUACGGGAGGCAGCAGUGGGGAAUUUUGGACAAUGGGGGCAACCCUGAUCCAGCGACGCCGCGUGAAGGACGAAGGUCUUCGGAUUGUAAACUUCUUUUGAAGGGAUGAACUGGCUAGUGAAUAACUAAGCCUUGACAGUACUCUUUGAAUAAGCCACGGCUAACUACGU